CCUACGGGAGGCAGCAGUGGGGAAUAUUGGGCAAUGGGCGCAAGCCUGACCCAGCAACGCCGCGUGAAGGAAGAAGGCUUUCGGGUUGUAAACUUCUUUUAAGCGGGAAGAGAAGAAGACGGUACCUCUUGAAUAAGCCACGGCUAACUACGGGCCAGCAGCCGCGGUAAUACGUAGGUGGCAAGCUGUGUCCGGAUUUACUGGGUGUAAAGGGCGUGCAGCCGGGAAGACUAGUCAGAUGUGAAAUCCCGGGGCUCAACCGCGGAACUGCAUUUGAAACUGUUUUUCUUGAGUACCGGAGAGGUCAGCGGAAUUCGUGGUGUAGCGGUGAAAUGCGUAGAUAUAAGGAAGAACACCAGUGGCGAAGGCAGAUGACUGGACGGCUACUGACGGUGAGGCGCGAAAGCGUGGGGAGCAAACAGGAUUAGAUACCCUAGUAGUC
This 442-nucleotide ribosomal RNA is filed under the name uncultured bacterium. Its description in RNAcentral is "partial 16S ribosomal RNA". It matches the Rfam family "Bacterial small subunit ribosomal RNA", at positions 338 to 795 of the family's 1533-position model. The record is from RNAcentral.